GUGAGGAAUAUUGGGCAAUGGGCGAAAGCCUGACCCAGCCACGCCGCGUGAGUGAUGAAGGCCUUCGGGUCGUAAAGCUCUUUCGCUGGGGAAGAUAAUGACGGUACCCAGUAAAGAAACCCCGGCUAACUCUGUGCCAGCAGCCGCGGUAAUACAGAGGGUGCAAACGUUGCUCGGAAUUACUGGGCGUAAAGCGCGUGUAGGCUGACAUGCAAGUCGGGUGUGAAAUCCCAGGGCUCAACCUUGGAACUGCACUCGAAACUGCACGUCUUGAGUACUGGAGAGGGAAGCGGAAUUCCGGGUGUAGAGGUGAAAUUCGUAGAUAUCCGGAGGAACACCAGUGGCGAAGGCGGCUUCCUGGACAGUAACUGACGCUGAGACGCGAAAGCGUGGGGAGCAAACAGGAUUAGAUACCCUUGUAGUCC
This 425-nucleotide ribosomal RNA is filed under the name uncultured bacterium. Its description in RNAcentral is "partial 16S ribosomal RNA". It matches the Rfam family "Bacterial small subunit ribosomal RNA", at positions 354 to 796 of the family's 1533-position model. The record is from RNAcentral.